UACGUAGGGCGCGAGCGUUAAUCGGAAUUACUGGGCGUAAAGCGUGCGCAGGCGGUUCGUUGUGUCUGAUGUGAAAGCCCCGGGCUCAACCUGGGAAUGGCAUUGGAAACUGGCGAGCUAGAGUGUGGCAGAGGGGGGUGGAAUUCCGCGUGUAGCAGUGAAAUGCGUAGAGAUGCGGAGGAACACCGAUGGCGAAGGCAGCCCCCUGGGCUGACACUGACGCUCAGGCACGAAAGCGUGGGGAGCAAACAGG
RNAcentral lists this ribosomal RNA (253 nucleotides) under uncultured bacterium. RNAcentral describes it as "partial 16S ribosomal RNA". It matches the Rfam family "Bacterial small subunit ribosomal RNA", at positions 524 to 776 of the family's 1533-position model. The record is from RNAcentral.